AAUGGCGAAAUCAGCGUUAAAGACUACGUCCGAGGAAGAAUGGGGGGCACAAAGUCUAUGAGUGUGAACGCUGAGUUGGACGUAUUUUGCACGUACAAAACGGAGCCACGCUGUUACUGAUGUUCCGGAUGGCACAUUGCCUGGCUGUGUGGCUGUUCGAUGGUGCAGUCGAACUGCACACAUGGAGCCACUCAACCCCUCCUGGGACUGCAGGAGGAUUGACGUACCAUUAAGAAAUCGCUUUGCUGCAUCCUUGAUGGUUGUUCAGGAGGCUCUACUUCUUCUGCUUCUGGGUCUGGCUCAGAAUCAGUGACUCGAUUGUGCAAUAGCACAUCUGUUUGCACCCAUUUUCAUGUGUAUAAAGUGUAAACACUGAGUUGGAGGGUCACAGCUAGCAGCAGCUUAUUUGCAUUAUAGUGCGGUGUUUUGACAUCAGAAUGAGAUGAUGUCAAAACACCUCAUUCUAGAGGCAGAACUGACCUGGUGAAAUCUCACCUUACCACUUGAUUUUUUUCCUUUUUCUUUUUUUGUUUGUUUUUUAUUUUUGUUCUUUGCAAAAAAAUUUAAUGAACAUGAUUAUUUUUGCAUAGCCCACAGCCCUAACAUAACUUGUUCAAAGAAGCAUAAGUCUCCCUUAACUUAACUACUAGUGUGUACUAGCUUCCUCUUUUAAGAGGUUUCUUAAAAAAUUAAUUGGCUCCUACCACACUGAUGUAAUUUGGAAAAUAUAUAAGCUGAUAUUUUUAUUCAAAUUUUGCUAAAAGUAACAGGAGGUAGAGGAGGGAAACUCAGAAGAGAGGAAGCUUCUUAAAGGAAAGAGUGCCUCUGAAACUUCAGAGCUGCAGUUAUCUUCUGCAUGGGUGGAAACUAGAUUCCCCGUGGACAGAAAAUGAUUUCUCAAAGAUUGCAGGGCACAGAGCCAUUUUUAAAGCUGACAGUUCUUUGAUCCAGUGGUUCGACUUGAUUUGUCUAUGAUUAAUGUGGAUUUUGGUUCUCCAUGCGGAUACACCACACACACACACACACACACACCCACACACACACCCACACAGCUCCGGCACUCAUUUUGUACUCCAACUCGGCUUCCACACUGGGGGACUAAAUAAGAGAGAGACACCCACACAGAUCUCCUGAACGCAGCAUCUCCUUGCUAUAGGAAGCAAAGUUUGUUUUUCUUCAACUUUCCUGUAGAUCACGGAAAGUGAAUAUCACCCUAAAGGCAAACGCAAGACAGUAAAACUAUUUUAGCAGUAUUUUAUAUGUAGACAUUCUCUUUUUAUUUCAAAUACCUUUCCCAUCAAAACAUUUUUUUUUCCCAUCAGCUGUAUUUCUAUACAGAGUUAAAAGCCCUUUAUUAUUCAUUCAAGUGCAAUGAAUAUAUUUUUUGGGGUUUUUUAUUAUGGAAAGUCUCAUCCAGCAAUUGAUAAAUAGCGUCCCCAACUAUUUUAAAUAACCUUCCUGCUGUUCAGCAAUUAUGUCAAAAGAUAAAAUCUAAACUAAGCUCCAGUCUCUUCCACAAUGGGCACCUUUAAAAUGAUGCAAUGCAGAAAAUGUCCAUACAAUCUCAAUCUAAACCUCUGUGAAAGCAAAGUACAAAAUUAUGGAGGGGCUUUUUGCAUCAUAGUUUCUUUUUAUUAUAUUGUAUUCCUCUGCAGGUAAUCCUUCUGAAGGUUUUAGUGUCCGGCUCUUCUGGAUUCUUACUGACUAUAGGCCAAAAAGUGUAAGAGUAACUAUAUAAGACAUUUAUGGAGUCUGCUGAUUCCUUCACAGUAGGUUUCCUUAGUAAAAAGGGCAUCAGAGUUGAAAUAGUCAUAAAGACUACUUAUAUCUGGAUCUAGAGACUUUCUGCAUAGUAAACAUCAGCAGUCUUCCAUUUGAAUUUAAACCUGCCCUUUGGGAUGCUGCUGUCUGAGUUACUGGACUGAGUUUGACCUCGAGUAAAAAAAAAUAAGCGUUCAAUGAUGCUGCUAGAGACAAAAUUCAUAAUUAAACCAUGUGUGUUUUAUUAAUUAUUGCUAAAGGCUGUUCUAAAUUCUUAUGAUAACUUGGUUUUAUAUAUUAGAGCAUUUUAAAAAGUGAGAUGUAUUUGUACAUCUGACUGCUGGAGUCGGGGCCUCGAGACAUGAAUCUCACUUCACAUCACUGAUCACUCAACUGAUCAAAGCUCCAAGGACUCCGAAGACUUUGAGAGUUUUCCUGAAAGCCUUUAUGGCAGUGAUCUCCAAGCCCUCUUGAGGUGGGAAAAUAUUAGUAUAAAGUCCUUUAAGUUGGCCUGUUGGGAUCACAUCAGAGGGCCGACCCCAGUUUAACUCUGAUGGGAGAUGCUCACGUCUUCAGGUGACCUUGUCUGGCUGCGAUUAUCAGCCAGACAAGGUAUUGUUUGGCAAAAUCUCCCACCUUCAGGUCUCCCUUCCUACUCAGCCACAAGAUUGUCGAACAAACUAGUGGUCAACUAAUGCUGGAUAUGUGUCCUAGACAUAGCUUAGAGUUGUAAGUCCACCUCAUCUAAACUCAUCAAAUAGGAGAAAUUGGUUUUCAAACAGAAUCGCAGUGGGGAAAAAAAUUCACUGCAGUCUUUGACCAAUCAAAAUAAUUGCUCUUUUAUACUUUGUCAAAGCAAUACAUUAUGACAUUAGGAUUUAAAUAAUUUAGGUCAAAUAAAAUCAUCAAAUAGGGCAUGACAUGGUGUCACAUCCUGAAAAUCUCUAAUGCUAUACCUCUAUCUUCUUUUCACACUUCACUGUCGGUGCCAUUGCCAGUAAAACAUCAAAUUUCCGAAUGCAUUAAUUAGUUGAGGCUUUAUUGAUUUAAUUGUCUCUGUUGCUGUUGUUGAAGUGUUGAACUAAAACACAUUUUGAUGAGUCCAAAGGUUCACGUUCUCAAGCUUGACCAUCAAAUGCAACACUCAGCAACUGAAAAGAUAAACAAAAGGAGACACUUGAGCAAAACAAGGAAACAAAGAUUUUUUUUUUUCGCCUUAUAGAUGUGAUGUGAUGGGAUGGAUGGCCUAGAUAAAGCUAUCUCCUGUGGCAAAUGCUGAAAUUAAUUCCAUACCGCUUCGGCCUCUGUCCCAGUCGACAAGCUCGUACAGGAGAAGAAAGAAUGGGGGCAUCUUGACAGAGCUCUACAGAGCAGUAAGCCCAUUAACAGUAAACCAGCACUGUAAUGAUACUGGAAGGAACAGUUAGGGGUUGAGAAUUAUGCAGAGUUUCUGAGUAUUUAUGUGUUGUGAGCUGUUCAAGAAAGCAAAGGGGAUCAGAAAAGGUUCCUUAACUCCAACCAGCUGCCGCACGCUCACCAAACGGAAAAGAAAACUGAGCUUUGGGGUAAAAUUUGUUGUCUCACAUUGUGACUUAAUUCAAAUUCAUCAAAGGGCAAGCAAGAAGAUAGUAAAGUAUUGAAUGAAUUACAAGAUAACUGCUGAGGCUUUUAGAUGUGGUAAGGUGCAAUGCACUGACUUUCUUAUGGGAAACAGGAAGAUGAGUAGGAGUAUUGGGAGAGCAAUUCGUUGGUAAUUUGGUGAAACUCCUAAUAGCAGCAGUCAAAUUGCUUAUGGAAAAGACAAGUCGUUCUAGCUGCAAUACAUUUAACCAUAAAAUUGCGCAAAUGGGAACUACAACAGUAAGUUGACUGGAAACACGGCAGUUCUCAAAGGGAUUUUGUUCAAAGUUGAUGCCCUAUAUGAGGUGAUUUUUCAGCCAUAUCAAAAUUUGCGUUUUUUUUGUUAAACAGUCAGUGGUGUCUUUGGACAUUGCACAGUUUUCUCCACCAGAGGUUUCACAUCCUUGCACAGUUAAUCAAAAGUCAGGUUUGUCAUUUAAAAGUGUUGAAUCCAUAAUAGCUUUUCUGUAAAAUUGUUGUAGACAAAUUCCCUCAAAGGUUUUAUACAUAACUGCUUCCAUGUAUAAAGGGCUUGUUUCCAUAGUCACUGUAAUGCCUUGAGUUUAUCUUCAGUAUUAUUGAUUACUGCAGCAGGGUCUUCGAGUGUCUGUCAAUCAAAAAACUGCAGCUAAUCCAAAAUGUAACUGCUUGCAUUCUCAUUAAAACUAGAAAAUUUGAGCACAUCCCCCUGGUUUAAAGCUUACACUGGCUCCCCAUAUUUCAGUUUUUAAUUUAUAAAUUACUCAAUGGUUUAGCACCAAAGUACACAAGAUUAGUUGAUUUUGUAUCAUUCAGAACACUCAGAUCUUCUGGUUCAAGUCUCUGCUGCAUCUCCAGAGUCAGAUCUAAGCAUGGUAAAGUUUCUAAACUCCAGUAAUCUAGAACAAAGUUCCAGAAAACUGAAUGAAUGAUGAGCUGAAAGAUUGGUCACGUGACUCUUUAAAAUUACUCUUGACAAUAUGAGGAAGAGGAGGAGGACGGCGGCAUUUGAGAAAAUUUUACUUUUCUGCUUGGUUGCUGUUUUAUGUCCUUAACAUAAUUGUUUAUUGUGCUAUUCUUUUUAUAAAGUAUUUCAAGGUGAAAAAGAUGCUUGUGUCAGAAUAAAUUUUGUAACAAUGA
Gambusia affinis (western mosquitofish) is the source of this 4500-nucleotide long non-coding RNA. RefSeq lists it as uncharacterized. Lineage: Eukaryota; Metazoa; Chordata; Actinopteri; Cyprinodontiformes; Poeciliidae. The transcript has 3 exons. The record is from RefSeq and is a predicted model, not a curated record.